This 819-nucleotide ribosomal RNA is filed under the name uncultured bacterium. RNAcentral's name for it is "bacterial SSU rRNA". It matches the Rfam family "Bacterial small subunit ribosomal RNA", at positions 8 to 871 of the family's 1533-position model. The record is from RNAcentral.
AGAGUUUGAUCCUGGCUCAGAACGAACGCUGGCGGCAGGCCUAACACAUGCAAGUCGAACGGAUGUAGCAAUACAUUAGUGGCGCACGGGAGAGUAACGCGUGGGAACCUACCUUUUGGUUUGGGAUAACGUCGGGAAACUGACGCUAAUACCAGAUAAGCCCUUCGGGGGAAAGAUUUAUCGCCGAUUGAUGGGCCCGCGUUAGAUUAGCUAGUUGGUGAGGUAACGGCUCACCAAGGCGACGAUCUAUAGCUGGUCUGAGAGGAUGACCAGCCUCACUGGGACUGAGACACGGCCCAGACUCCUACGGGAGGCAGCAGUGGGGAAUAUUGGACAAUGGGGGCAACCCUGAUCCAGCCAUGCCGCGUGAAUGAUGAAGGCCUUCGGGUUGUAAAGUUCUUUUGGUGGGGACGAUGAUGGCGGUACCCACAGAAUAAGCUCCGGCUAACUUCGUGCCAGCAGCCGCGGUAAUACGAAGGGAGCUAGCGUUGUUCGGAAUUACUGGGCGUAAAGGGCGCGUAGGCGGUUUGGUAAGUUGGGUGUGAAAGCCCAGGGCUCAACCCUGGAACUGCACUCAAGACUAUCAGACUUGAAUUCGGUAGAGGUUGGUGGAAUUCCCAGUGUAGAGGUGAAAUUCGUAGAUAUUGGGAAGAAUAUCCGUGGCGAAGGCGGCCAACUGGACCGACAUUGACGCUGAGGCGCGAAAGCGUGGGGAUCAAACAGGAUUAGAUACCCUGGUAGUCCACGCUGUAAACGAUGCAUGUUAGACGUUGGAAACUUCAGGUUUCUUGUGUCGCAGCUAACGCACUAAGCAUGCCG